CACGUAGGGCGCAAGCGUUGUCCGGAAUUAUUGGGCGUAAAGAGCUCGUAGGCGGUCUGUUGCGUCUGCUGUGAAAACCCGGGGCUUAACCCCUGGCUUGCAGUGGAUACGGACAGACUAGAGGUAGGUAGGGGAGAAUGGAAUUCCCGGUGUAGCGGUGAAAUGCGCAGAUAUCGGGAGGAACACCGGUGGCGAAGGCGGUUCUCUGGGCCUUACCUGACACUGAGGAGCGAAAGCGUGGGGAGCGAACAGG
RNAcentral lists this ribosomal RNA (253 nucleotides) under uncultured bacterium. RNAcentral describes it as "partial 16S ribosomal RNA". It matches the Rfam family "Bacterial small subunit ribosomal RNA", at positions 524 to 776 of the family's 1533-position model. The record is from RNAcentral.